AGAGAGAGACAUGCGCGCAUAUCAAUAAGCGGAGGAAAAGAAACUAACAAGGAUUCCCUUAGUAACGGCGAGUGAAGCGGGAAGAGCUCAAAUUUGAAAUCUUCAAGGUUUUACCUUGACGAAUUGUAGUUUAAAGAAGUGUUUUCUGCUGAAGUUUUGGUAAAAGUUCUUUGGAAUAGGACAUCAUAGAGGGUGAGAAUCCCGUAUUUGACCAUUAUUUUCAGCUUUGUGAUACACUUUCAAAGAGUCGGAUUGUUUGGGAAUGCAGUCCAAAAUGGGUGGUAAAUUUCAUCUAAAGCUAAAUAUUGGCGAGAGACCGAUAGCGAACAAGUACCGUGAGGGAAAGAUGAAAAGAACUUUGAAAAGAGAGUUAAACAGUACGUGAAAUUGUCAAAAGGGAAGCGUUUGACACCAGUGUUGUUUUCUCGAAAAUCAAUUAAAAAUGGCUCGAUUUCGUAUUGCUGAGACCUUAAAAGCUCACUGUACAUUUUUCGUGUCUUUUUUAAUGCACUUUUCGUUUAACAAGUCAACAUUCAGUUUCUUUUGUUGUAAAAGGGUCAUUGGAAGGUGGCUUUCUUUUCGGAGAAAGUGUUUAUAGCCUUUGGCCUCUGCAAUCGGAAGAGACUGAGGUCUGCAGCGUAGACUCUUCGGGGUUAGAUACAUUUGUGCUAAGUUAUAGCUUUUUAUAGACAACUUGUUGACUAUAAUUAGUCUUGUAGCUUACUCGCUUAUGCUAUUUUACCUACGCUUAGGAUGUUGAGUCGUAGAGCACGCAG
Molecule: ribosomal RNA, 776 nt
Filed under: uncultured Neocallimastigales
Lineage: Eukaryota; Fungi; Neocallimastigomycota; Neocallimastigomycetes; Neocallimastigales
Description: partial large subunit ribosomal RNA
Rfam family: Eukaryotic large subunit ribosomal RNA
Source: RNAcentral